AGCAGUCGCCACGGGAAUACGUAGGUGGCAAGCGUUGUCCGGAAUUAUUGGGCGUAAAGGGCUCGCAGGCGGUUUCUUAAGUCUGAUGUGAAAGCCCCCGGCUCAACCGGGGAGGGUCAUUGGAAACUGGGAAACUUGAGUGCAGAAGGGGAGAGUGGAAUUCCACGUGUAGCGGUGAAAUGCGUAGAGAUGUGGAGGAACACCAGUGGCGAAGGCGACUCUCUGGUCUGUAACUGACGCUGAGGAGCGAAAGCGUGGGGAGCGAACAGGAUUAGAUACCCCGGUAGUCCCUGUCUCUUAUAC
This 303-nucleotide ribosomal RNA is filed under the name uncultured bacterium. RNAcentral describes it as "partial 16S ribosomal RNA". It matches the Rfam family "Bacterial small subunit ribosomal RNA", at positions 507 to 807 of the family's 1533-position model. The record is from RNAcentral.